Panicum hallii is the source of this 706-nucleotide long non-coding RNA. RefSeq lists it as uncharacterized. The record is from RefSeq and is a predicted model, not a curated record. The transcript has 3 exons. Lineage: Eukaryota; Viridiplantae; Streptophyta; Magnoliopsida; Poales; Poaceae.
AUGUAUAUAGGAGUAUGCCUCCGAUGCCGGACAUUGAACGUCCAAGCCACCUGAUGCCGUCUCGACCCCCUGUUGUUUCUAUAAGUGAGGAGGACAGCGAGAGCACUGAUGAUGCCCACACCUUGGCAGAUGUGAUGAAGGGCAAGAAGGUGAAGACCUCCCAGGAGGGCCAAAGCUCUACAAGUGGUGAUUCUUUGUCUAGUCACCCGAAGGGGUUGAGGGCCGCCACCCGAAAAUGCAAGGGUAGUGUUGUAUCGAGUGGUAAUGAGGAUGAAACACCAAGCUCCCCGAACCCAAAGCAUACCAAGCUGAGGGUCGAGGAAGCUGUCAGGGGUAAUAUUGUGAAGGAGCAAGAUGUAUCCUCUGUCACAGUGGACCCAUCAACAGGUACUGCUGCAACGACGCUGGGACAAGCACUACCCUUGAUGACCGUCGCUAUUGCCUCACCGUGGCAAACUCUGCCUGCGGCUGGCAAGUCAGCGGCGAUAGGUGCUUUAGAUGCUGCUUCAGCGUCUAAAGCACUAAAAUAGAAGAAAUUGCAUGUAAAGAAAUCCGCAUCGCCAGCCUCUACUCCGAGCUUGGAACAACCUGGCGAUGCCUCGGUGACUCUAGCCCUGAAAGGAUCUUGGUGAUGCAUAGAAGCGGGCGGGGGGUGAAUAGGCGUAACUGUAAAAUCUGAAAAAUUCUUCGUAGCAAUUAAAUCUAU